GACGAACGCUGGCGGCGUGCCUAAUACAUGCAAGUAGAACGCUGAAGGAGGAGCUUGCUCUUCUGGAUGAGUUGCGAACGGGUGAGUAACGCGUAGGUAACCUGCCUGGUAGCGGGGGAUAACUAUUGGAAACGAUAGCUAAUACCGCAUAACAGUAGAUGUUGCAUGACAUUUACUUAAAAGGUGCAAUUGCAUCACUACCAGAUGGACCUGCGUUGUAUUAGCUAGUUGGUGGGGUAACGGCUCACCAAGGCGACGUUACAUAGCCGACCUGAGAGGGUGAUCGGCCACACUGGGACUGAGACACGGCCCAGACUCCUACGGGAGGCAGCAGUAGGGAAUCUUCGGCAAUGGACGGAAGUCUGACCGAGCAACGCCGCGUGAGUGAAGAAGGGUUUCGGAUCGUAAAGCUCUGUUGUAAGAGAAGAACGAGUGUGAGAGUGGAAAGUUCACACUGUGACGGUAUCUGACCAGAAAGGGACGGCUAACUACGUG
RNAcentral lists this ribosomal RNA (495 nucleotides) under uncultured bacterium. Its description in RNAcentral is "partial 16S ribosomal RNA". It matches the Rfam family "Bacterial small subunit ribosomal RNA", at positions 28 to 507 of the family's 1533-position model. The record is from RNAcentral.